AAGUCAACUGUUAGCCGACCACCUUUUGCCAUCCGUCAACUAUGGCUGUUGCUUUGAGCAUGCAUUACAUAAAAAAACUGAGUACUGUACAGUCUGUGUCCAAAUGAUGAACGGCGACUGUCUCACCUGGUCUUGAGUCUCUCCUCCUGGAGGCGUGUAGUCGCGACAUGACUGUCCAGCAGCGUUGGCCAUGUUCUUCAAAUCCUCUCUGGGACGUCCUUCAGCAAUGCCAAAACCCUGCAUUAACAACACAACCAAGACAAACAUAAAGCUCUGAAGGACGUCUCCACAGCUGACACGUCCAAAACUCUGCGGCUCACA
Molecule: long non-coding RNA, 321 nt
Organism: Scatophagus argus
Lineage: Eukaryota; Metazoa; Chordata; Actinopteri; Scatophagidae
Exons: 3
Source: RefSeq, a predicted model, not a curated record